Molecule: long non-coding RNA, 1021 nt
Organism: Sinocyclocheilus rhinocerous
Lineage: Eukaryota; Metazoa; Chordata; Actinopteri; Cypriniformes; Cyprinidae
Exons: 2
Source: RefSeq, a predicted model, not a curated record
CUUUAGUCUCACAUAAUCAUUGGUGGCAGGUUUCAUGUGUGAUCCCCUCAUUCCUCCCCACUUCAUCAGUAAGAGCUGUUGGAAAUCAUUGAUUUCCUUCUCUUUAUUUGCAGGGGCGCGAUGGGCUGCCUAUACCAGGAUGCUGGCAUAAGUAAUGACUAACCUGGAGCAUGGAGUUUGUACAUAUUGAUAUAUAUUUUGCAAGUAAAAUUAGCUUUUUCUCCCAAUUUUUUAGUCAUCUCUUAUUUAAUAAAUUGGGUUUUCAUAUGGGAGCCCUUGCAAAAAUAAUAUCUGUAUCGUUGCAUUAACAAAAGAGAGGCUCUCCACUGCCACAAUAUCAAGUGUAGAAAAGCAAUGAAGCGAGCAUCAUAGGUGCUGAGACUGUACUGAUAUUAAGAAGAGACAUGAACUCAAUGCUUGUGGAUGCACAGAGAAUGCUGCUGCAGUCUUUAAGGUGAGAACAUAACCCUGAACUUUCUAACAGACUGACCAAUGUGUCUGCAAAUGAUCACUUCUUUAGUGGCUGUCUUACUUUCCUGGGCGUCAUUUGAAACAACCAACCCCACCCAUUCUUUGCUAAAUGUUUGCUUUGAAAGGAAGAGGUUUCAGGGCAGGGUGGCAAAGCCAAGCACCCAUCUCAGCCCUAAAGGACACUGAAUGGGAUAUAUGGAGGGAGUAUGCUUUGCCAGUUCAGCUGGAUGUUUCCAAUGAAAGGGCUCACCUGUACUACAGGGAGAAAUGCAAUGUGGACAUUGCACUAGAUUUGUACUGGUAUACAUAUGGACAAAACUGUACUCAGGAAACUCUUUUCACUUGGUCAACAGGAAACAGCUUACUGUCUUUUGUUCCAUUUCUCAGUAAAAUACACCAGUGGAGAGGUGGAAAAAAGUAUAAUAACUGACUGAUAUCAUGUAAAGUUGUCGUUGUAAGUCUUGUCUGUUUAUAAGAUCCCUCAUAAACUAAAACAACUUUGGUCUUUUAUUCAUGUUUUGUUUUGUUCAUUGUUUGGUCUUUUAUUCAU